GAUCCUGGCUCAGGAUGAACGCUGGCGGCGUGCCUAAUACAUGCAAGUGAAACGGGUAUCUUCGGAUACCAGUCGCGGACGGGUGAGUAAUACAUAGGCAACCUGCCUUUAUGAGGGGGAUAACCGAGGGAAACUUUGGCUAAUACCGCAUGAAGACUCUAAGGCAUCUUAGAGGGAUAAAAGUUGGGAAACAACGCAUGAAGAUGGGCUUAUGGCGCAUUAGCUAGUUGGUGAGAUAGAAGCCCACCAAGGUAAUGAUGCGUAGCCGACCUGAGAGGGUGAACGGCCACAUUGGGACUGAGACACGGCCCAAACUCCUACGGGAGGCAGCAGUAGGGAAUUUUCGGCAAUGGGGGGAACCCUGACCGAGCAACGCCGCGUGAAGGAAGAAGGUUUUCGGAUUGUAAACUUCUGUUAUAAGGGAAGAACGGAUUGGAUAGGGAAUGAUCUGAUAGUGACGGUACCUUAUUAGAAAGCCACGGCUAACUACGUGCCAGCCGCCGC
RNAcentral lists this ribosomal RNA (504 nucleotides) under uncultured bacterium. RNAcentral's name for it is "bacterial SSU rRNA". It matches the Rfam family "Bacterial small subunit ribosomal RNA", at positions 15 to 518 of the family's 1533-position model. The record is from RNAcentral.